ACGUGGGAAUAUACCUUUUGGUUCGGAACAACUGAGGGAAACUUCAGCUAAUACCGAAUGUGUCCUUACGGAGAAAGAUUUAUCGCCAAAGGAUUAGCCCGCGUUCGAUUAGCUAGUUGGUGAGGUAACGGCUCACCAAGGCGACGAUCGAUAGCUGUUCUGAGAGGAAGAUCAGCCACACUGGGACUGAGACACGGCCCAGACUCCUACGGGAGGCAGCAGUUGGGAAUCUUGGACAAUGGGGGAAACCCUGAUCCAGCCAUGCCGCGUGAGUGAUGAAGGCCUUCGGGUUGUAAAACU
RNAcentral lists this ribosomal RNA (300 nucleotides) under uncultured Alphaproteobacteria bacterium. RNAcentral's name for it is "bacterial SSU rRNA". It matches the Rfam family "Bacterial small subunit ribosomal RNA", at positions 115 to 432 of the family's 1533-position model. The record is from RNAcentral. Lineage: Bacteria; Pseudomonadati; Pseudomonadota; Alphaproteobacteria.